This 253-nucleotide ribosomal RNA is filed under the name uncultured bacterium. RNAcentral's name for it is "partial 16S ribosomal RNA". It matches the Rfam family "Bacterial small subunit ribosomal RNA", at positions 524 to 776 of the family's 1533-position model. The record is from RNAcentral.
UACGUAGGGGGCAAGCGUUGUCCGGAAUCAUUGGGCGGAAAGAGCGUGUAGGCGGCCCGGUAAGUCCGCUGUGAAAGUCCAGGGCUCAACCCUGGAAUGCCGGUGGAAACUGUCGGGCUAGAGUCCGGAAGAGGCGAGUGGAAUUCCUGGUGUAGCGGUGAAAUGCGCAGAUAUCAGGAGGAACACCAAUGGCGAAGGCAGCUCGCUGGGACGGUACUGACGCUGAGACGCGAAAGCGUGGGGAGCAAACAGG